RNAcentral lists this ribosomal RNA (497 nucleotides) under uncultured bacterium. Its description in RNAcentral is "partial 16S ribosomal RNA". It matches the Rfam family "Bacterial small subunit ribosomal RNA", at positions 28 to 507 of the family's 1533-position model. The record is from RNAcentral.
GAUGAACGCUGGCGGCGUGCCUAAUACAUGCAAGUCGAGCGAUGAGAGGAGGACUUUGCUCCUUUGACGUUAGCGGCGCGGGGGUGAGACACAUGUGUAUAACCCCCCUUUACGGCGGGGAACACUUCGGGACAACGGCGAUUAUCCCGGAAUAGUUAUUGAAGCGCAUGGUUUGAUAAAGAAAGGCAAUUUUGCUGCUACUUGUUGAUGGUUCGUUGCUGUAUUAGCUAGUUGGUAAGGUAACGGCUUACCAAGGCGACGAUGCGUAGCCGACCUGAGAGGGUGAUCGGCCACACUGGGACUGAGACACGGUCCAGACUCCUACGGGAGGCAGCAGUAGGGAAUCUUCCGCAAUGGGCGAAAGCCUGACGGAGCAACGCCGCGUGAGUGAAGAAGGUCUUCGGAUCGUAAAGCUCUGUUAUUAGGGAAGAACAAAUGUGUGAGUAACUAUGCACGUCUUGACGGUACCUAAACAGAAAGCCACGGCUAACUACGUG